AGAGUUUGAUUAUGGCUCAGGAUGAACGCUAGCUACAGGCUUAACACAUGCAAGUCGAGGGGCAGCAUUGGGGUAGCAAUACUCAGAUGGCGACCGGCGCACGGGUGAGUAACACGUAUCCAACCUGCCGCUUACUCGGGGAUAGCCUUUCGAAAGAAAGAUUAAUACCCGAUGGUAUAAAGAGUUCGCAUGUUCUCUUUAUUAAAGAAUUUCGGUAAGCGAUGGGGAUGCGUUCCAUUAGAUAGUUGGCGGGGUAACGGCCCACCAAGUCUACGAUGGAUAGGGGUUCUGAGAGGAAGGUCCCCCACAUUGGAACUGAGACACGGUCCAAACUCCUACGGGAGGCAGCAGUGAGGAAUAUUGGUCAAUGGACGAGAGUCUGAACCAGCCAAGUAGCGUGAAGGAUGACUGCCCUAUGGGUUGUAAACUUCUUUUAUAAGGGAAUAAAGUGAGGGACGUGUCCCUUUUUGUAUGUACCUUAUGAAUAAGGAUCGGCUAACUCCGUGCCAGCAGCAGC
Molecule: ribosomal RNA, 517 nt
Filed under: uncultured bacterium
Lineage: Bacteria
Description: bacterial SSU rRNA
Rfam family: Bacterial small subunit ribosomal RNA
Source: RNAcentral